Long non-coding RNA from Arachis duranensis, 664 nucleotides. RefSeq lists it as uncharacterized. NCBI's taxonomy places the organism in Eukaryota, Viridiplantae, Streptophyta, Magnoliopsida, Fabales, Fabaceae. The record is from RefSeq and is a predicted model, not a curated record. The transcript is spliced from 3 exons.
UGAAAUAGGCAGUUUCCUAAUCCCUAUUUCAUGUUUACAGAUAGUUGAAUGCCGAAGGGUGCUGAAGUGGACGUAUGCAUAUGGAUAUUACUUGCCUGAGCAUGAACAUGCUAAAAAACAGUUUUUUGAGUACUUGCAAGGUGAGGCGGAAUCUGGUUUGGAGCGACUUCAUCAAUGUGCUGAAAAGGAACUACAGUUGUUCCUUAAUACUGAUGGCCCAUCUAAAGAAUUCAAUGACUUCCGCACAAAACUAGCUGGAUUGACCAGUGUAACUAGAAACUACUUUGAGAAUUUGGUUAGGGCUUUAGAGAAUGGUUUAUCUGAUGUGGAUAGUAAUGGAGCUGCUUCAAGCAAAGCGACAAGCUCUAAAAAUGCCGCAGGGAGCAGCAAGGGGAGAGGUCGAAGAGGAAAGGGAACUCUUCGGGCGAGCAUGGCUAGUAGUAGAAUGACCGAUGAUAAUCAUUGGUCCUGUGAGCAAUGUACCUAUGGAAAUGUGAAAUCUGCCACCAUGUGCCAGAUCUGCAACCAACAGCGCCGAUGAAAAUUCCGGCCCGCCUUUAGAAACCCCUGUACAUCUUGUAGACAAGGCCAAGGCACCAAUUUACUUCUUCUAGUUAUCAUAUGGUGGAUGGAUUUUGCAAGUCUAUUUUAAUGUGAACAGGAU